GUGACUGUAGCUCAGCCUGGUUAGAGCGCUUGGCUGUGAACCAAGAGGCCGCGGGUUCGAAUCCCGUCAGUCACCCCA
RNAcentral lists this transfer RNA (78 nucleotides) under Elusimicrobiota bacterium. RNAcentral's name for it is "Elusimicrobia bacterium (groundwater metagenome) tRNA-His". It matches the Rfam family "tRNA". Rfam says of the family: Transfer RNA (tRNA) molecules are approximately 80 nucleotides in length. Their secondary structure includes four short double-helical elements and three loops (D, anti-codon, and T loops). Lineage: Bacteria; Pseudomonadati; Elusimicrobiota. The record is from RNAcentral.